CUCUGUGACUCCUACGGGGAGGCAGCAGUGGGGAAUAUUGCACAAUGGGGGAAACCCUGAUGCAGCCAUGCCGCGUGUGUGAAGAAGGCCUUCGGGUGUAAAGCACUUUCAGUAGGGAGGAAGGUAGUGUAGUUAACACCUGCAUUAUUUGACGUUACCUACAGAAGAAGCACCGGCUAACUCCGUGCCAGCAGCCGCGGUAAUACGGAGGGUGCGAGCGUUAAUCGGAAUUACUGGGCGUAAAGCGCAUGCAGGCGGCCUGUUAAGUCAGAUGUGAAAGCCCGGGGCUUAACCUCGGAAUUGCAUUUGAAACUGGCAGGCUAGAGUCUUGUAGAGGGGGGUAGGAAUUUCAGGUGUAGCGGUGAAAUGCGUAGAGAUCUGAAGGAAUACCAGUGGCGAAGGCGGCCCCCUGGACAAAGACUGACGCUCAGAUGCGAAAGCGUGGGGAGCAAACAGGAUUAGAUACCCUGGUAG
This 474-nucleotide ribosomal RNA is filed under the name uncultured bacterium. RNAcentral's name for it is "bacterial SSU rRNA". It matches the Rfam family "Bacterial small subunit ribosomal RNA", at positions 328 to 793 of the family's 1533-position model. The record is from RNAcentral.